AUCACCCUGCUGUGUUCGUGAUGCCGCAAAACCGGUUUUGAGCCAACACUCUUAAAAAGGCGUCUCUUAUUAGAUAGUAUCACGAUAGACUUCGGUCAAGGUGAAAUCUCUCUAGCGGGACCCUACCUGCGAAAGCAGGUUCAAAACUACGCAGCACACGGCAUGGCGGGGAUUUU
This 176-nucleotide non-coding RNA is filed under the name Anaerolineaceae bacterium. Its description in RNAcentral is "6S RNA". It matches the Rfam family "6S / SsrS RNA". From Rfam's summary of the family: E. coli 6S RNA was the first non coding RNA to be sequenced, but its function was unknown until recently. It consists of 184 nucleotides that fold into an extended hairpin structure with a large single-stranded internal bulge. RNAcentral also lists the same sequence under 2 other names. Lineage: Bacteria; Bacillati; Chloroflexota; Anaerolineae; Anaerolineales; Anaerolineaceae. The record is from RNAcentral.